GUUUUUCUCUGUAUUCUAUUGCAUUUAAUCCUUGUUGUAAAGCACUUUGUGAUGUUAUCUAUGAAAAGUGAGGUAUAAAUAAAAUCUACUUAAUUAAUUACAUACAAAGAAUUCACACAUUAUAGUUAUUGUUUGACGAAGCUGCAGAGAAAAGUGCAGUAUCUGAUUCAUGUUUUUACUAAAAUAACAAUCUGAAUGUGGACAAAAGUUCAAGUGUUGCUUCAUCUGUGGUUCAUCUGGUUAAGGUUGGAAACAGCGAACUCCGGUGGCCAGAAAUGGGACUGAAGAAAGCUGUGAAAAUAGGUGAGCUGCAGCCACACUGAGGAAUAAUAUCUGACAGACAGUAAAUUACAGUUUUUUCAGUCUCUAACAAUCAUUUGUCCGAAACUCUAAACCCAACGAUCACAGCAUCAGUCUUUUUACCGUUCACACAUUUCAUGUCAUUUUCACACAAUAUCCAGUCAGUGAACACAUUUACACAACACUUACAUUACAUUAACAGACGAGCGACACCUCCCAACAAAACCAUGAUUAAUUUUUAUAUUAUUUACUAAUGUUAACUCACAACAUCCCACAAUAACAAAAACAUUAUUUCAAG
Xyrichtys novacula (pearly razorfish) is the source of this 598-nucleotide non-coding RNA. The record is from the annotation of a GenBank genome assembly. Lineage: Eukaryota; Metazoa; Chordata; Actinopteri; Labriformes; Labridae.